UGACUCCAAACUUCCUGCUCACGUCUCGGUUUACGACAACUUCACCUUGCUUCAGUGUGGGAUGUUCUCCUUCUCGUUCUCUGGGGGCCCCGCCCGGACUCUCUUUGGGUGGACCGUCACCUCUCUUGCCCUUUGACCCGCUGCCUUGCCCAGCAUAGUGGAUCUGUAGAGUCGUGGCACCUUGGCGCCUGGGACGCUCUCCCACUGGAAAUUGCCACUGGCCAGAGGCUGGUUGGAUAUGAAGUCGAAACCCCAGCGCUGCGACGCCUCCUCCAGGUCUUUCCUCAGGGCGGCCUGGUAGUCCGCCCGCAGCUGCGCCCUGUCAACUGGGCCGAACAGGUUCCGCCGCGCAGAGCGUUUCCCCAAGGGGUUCGAGAUCCGCUUGAUGUUUGCCAUCAUUCGACACUAAAAAAAAAACACACACACAGAAGGUGGUAAAGUCUCAAACUGUACCAAAGCUCAAUAUUUGCUUAAUACAAAAAGUGAUUUCUCCAUGAGCAACAUUUGAACUUUCUAAAUCCAAUACUACAGUUCGAAGCUAUACCUUCAGACAUUUCAAAAAGUGUCUUACCAUUGUUGUAAGCUUCCUCAGUGAGUAUAACAGCGCAUCUGAGAUUGGUGUUAGUGUGGACUCUAUUUAUAAUACUCAGCCUGAGACGUGACUCACUAGCCCCUCCCACACGAGCGGGACUUGUACAUGUCCGGACACAGUUUCACUCAGACAUGUGAGGGCAAGUUCUCAGGCUAAAGUUGGAUGACUGCACCACUAGGAGGUGCUCUCAGGCCAUCUGCAUUGAAAGGACCGCAAUGGUCCACUUGUGAAGAUCACACAAGGGGGCAUGUAGGGCCAAGUAAAUUGAGCGAAUAAAGCAACAUCAUGAUGAUGAUCGUGAUAACCAAUUCGUCGAGGGGGAAUACUGGCAUGGUACGUUUACCCUAAAAGCUACACAGGAAGGAAUCAACUGUAUCUUGUGAGAAUAAUGAGUCAUUACACCCAUCCAGGAAGGGUUGGGCAGGUCCUAUGGUCAAUUUAGAAACUUCAGUAACAUAGAAAGACAUACACAUCAAAACUGAACACAAGCUCUGAACAUACGGGGAUGCCAGUAUUGAGAUUCGAACCCAGACCCUCCCACUGCGAUACUCUGAUAAGCUCUAAAAUAUCUAAAGACCUCAAAAUCGACCUUUUUUGGGUACCAUUUUUUGUGUUGAUAGUGUAAUGUUUGACUUUAGAAUUUAAAAGACACUUUUUAUUCACAAAUAUUCAUUGGAUAUUUGCCAAAGGUUCUGGUAGAACAUCUGCACUACUCAAUCUGGCCACAGGAGGGAGUCAAAGAGGACUGGUGCAAUGUGCCAUUUUUCCAGGAAUUGGGGCUCAUUCAUUUGAACUCGAGAGACCGUUCUCACGUGUUUUGAAAUACACACGUCUGACUCAGACUUUACUGAGUCUGAAACAGUAAAGCUAUACAUAGGAUCAUUGUACUCACGGGACUCAUAACUUCACUGACCCCACCCACCCAUCUUGACAUUUCCAAAUGUACUUCAAGAAAAUUCAACUGUUCCUGUAGACCAGGUCUACGAUUAUGGCAGUAAGAAUCGCAAUUCCAUAUAAGGCAUAUGAACGUAUAGGUGGCUUGUAAUGGACUUAAGAACAUUCUGAGAAUGACUUUGGAAAAGUUGACUUUUGACCUCCCACCCUCUUAUGACAUAAAUGGUGACUUGAUUCCUGUGAAAUGUAUGUUUUAAUUGGCUUUUUAAAUAAUUGCUCUACAAUUUAAUCUAUAGGCAUUUCUACACCAAUUUGGAAAGAAUGUGACAUUUUGGGCGAGUAUCAUUACAUUUGAAAUGCCGCCGCUCCCUUUAAAACGGAAAUGACGCAGGAGGACUGCUGGAUGGGAGGACCGAAGCGAGGGAUUCAAGGCUGUGGCGGGAGAAGGAGAGCCAGCCCACUUACUAUGCCGGUACACGUGAGUACCAAACUCGUGUCGGCCUACUAUGACCUGUCAACUAAGACUGACACGCUCCCUUUGCCAAACAACUCUGGUAAGUAAUUUUAUAACAAAUGAAAAUCAAGACUACUGUAUAAAUCACUUAAAUGUUGGACAAAGGCUGAGAUUAACCGGAGUCAAAUUUCCUUUUUGACAUGUACAAACCUGCUCAAAAAAGCUGAUUCUGAUAAUGUAAUAAUCUACUACUACUGCUAUUACUUCAACUACUACUAGGACAUCACUCAACCAGGUGGAAGACAUUCUUAUUUAUUCCAUAAUGCUAAUUAGGUCACUUUUAAAACAGACAAAAUAGCCCCAAUUUAAAGUCAAGAACAAUUGAAAAACACAUAAAUCGCUUUACUUACAGUGACAGUCUACAGUCGUCUGAUUGAAGCCUUGUUCUGUGCUAGUUCAAGCCCUUUGGCGUUAGCCUCUAAAAAAGGAUGACAAGCUUUGUGAGGUUACCGACAGACAACUUGGUGUCUCAAGUUUUCUCACACGGAGGUUAGUCAGGGGCUUUUAGACUUGCGAUGGGCGGGGAGCUCAGUUUCUUGUGUGGGGGUGUGGCUUGCUGGGUUCCCACACGUGUAUCGAGCCCAGUGACACGUGACACUUGGAUCAGUGCUUGAAGGAAAUUCCAGCACCUCAAUGUCUGUAGAUGCGUGGAAGGUCAUUUUGUCAGCAUUUUCCCCUCAUGGAGACUGACAAAUAGUAUCCCUUUGAGGGGAAAAAAUAUGACAAAAUUGGAACAUAGGAGGUUUGGCCCACUACCCUUGAUAUAACCCAGAGGUGGGCAAAUUUGUGCUCACCCAGUUUAGCCUCGGGAAUUGAAGAUGUUGCAACCUCAGUGCAGUUACAGUGGUGUAUUUGCUGUAUACUCACGCUGUGCUCUUUGACCUUCCCCACUCUGCAACAUUAACUACAGGUUCCUAGGUUCCAGUUUAAUAAUAAUAGGACUAAUACAUCCAGUCCUCAUAUGUACUGAAAUGAGUGUAAACACAAAGAUACGUUUGUAAAUGAUCAGCAUUUGAGGGGCUGGCUAUACAUUACAGUGAAGGUUUGUCAAUAUGUGCAGCUGAGCUCUGCUGCUCGAGGCCUUUGCGCUGCAGCCACAUACAUUCAAUGGUCACAACACUGCAGGUGUUAAACUUAAGGAUUUGGUUCACCACACCUAAAGCAAAUCCUGCAUAUGCUUCAUUUGCCUGGUAAAAAUCGGUGUCUUUAAAAAACAGCAAGAUAUUGCAAGUAUAUUUUUAUGUUUGUUGCAAAAUUUUUGUUUGUUGAAAAUUGAAUGAAAUAGUCAUGUUAUCCUCAAUUAAUUAUGUAAGUAUAAUGUAAUGAUAUGAUGAGCAGAUUAAACAUUUACAGACUUGUGGUUUGUGAAAGAAUCGAUCUUAUAUAUAUUUUUUUACAACAUUUAAAAAUAGAAUAUGUUGAAAUGAACACUGCAAGCCAUGCUAACGGCUUAUUCUUUUUUAAUCCAUUUUAUGUACUUUUCAAAUGCAGUUCUGUUGUAUUUAACUUUUAAUUACAACAGUGUAGACGUUUUGUAAAUGGCUCCCGUGUUUUCUACGUGUCACCUCUCCGUGGUCGUCACAUGACAUUCACAUCCAUCAUGUUUAUUACAUAACAGUGGGUGGGUUAGAUACCUUAACUAAAGUAACUGAGUGGAUUCCCGCUAAUUCACGAGAGCCGCCCUAGCGGAGACCCGUGAGUCACGGCCCACGAACACGUCACAAGUUCGACCCAUCUAUAGAAUCCUUUGCGCAAAUCGUGGAAAGGCGCGCGCAAUUUUGAGAGGCCGGCCCCGCUUCUCCACGUGUGUGUGUGUGUGUGUGUGUGUGUGUGUGUGUGUGUGUGUGUGUGUGAGCGCGUUAUGCCUCUUCACGUGGAAUGUAUGCGUGAACAUACCAGCCGUGGGACUGCAAAAUGUAAUUGGAUAGUGGGAUGAGCGGGUGGUGUUAGUGGGGAGACCUCCCGUGGGUCGCGAGAUUUUGAUCUCAGGGAAAAAGGAAUUUCUGAUUAUCUUUGAAUAAACUCUUCAUUAAGCACAUCAUGUCCUCUGCUUUUUACAGCUGCUUGCUCAGCUUCUUUAAAAUACAAACACCCCUUUUAUAAUUAUUCCUGAUAAGUAUUAUAACAGUUUUAUCUGCAGCAUCAAUAUUUAGUGUGUAGACUUGCAUAUCUGUUAUUUUUUGUACAUAUUUACCAUAUAUGUAACAUGACUUAUUCCUUGUACAAAUGUGUGCAGGACUGCACCGAUUAUACUCAUGCAUUCACAAUUUUAUCAGCCACACAAGGACAGCGUUAUUUGGAUGUCUUAUCUUUUUUUGGGUAUAGGGUUAAAACACUCAAACAGGCGAAUUAGAUAAUUUAACCACAAGAGCACCUAAAUAAAUUUGUAACCUUGAAGUGUGUUAUUGACAACACUCCCGGAUUAGAUUCAUACAGUAUUAUCUUCUAUGAUGGUGCCCACUGUUAUGACAUUAACCCCACAGGUUAUAGUGAGUGUAAUAAUCUAGGGGUGGAGAACUUUUCCCGAUAAUAUUGGAGUAUUGUACUAAAUUCACAAUUACGAUGUAACCAACAUGAUAAAUAUGCAGAUGACCCCAACCUGAAUCAAGGGAGAGCUCAAAUGUAAAUCAAUUGUGUAGUUUGCUGCAGAAAUCCAGAAACCAGUGUCGGGCGAAAUCUUCCUACCUCCAAAACCAUCACCUUUCAGGAGAAACCCAAAAGUGGCCAAUACAGAUGAGUAAAGAAAUUUACCAGUUGUGCAGCUUCGUUAGCAAUAUGUGAAAACAGCGCCAUCUGUAUUUCCUCAAUAGGCAAAUUUAUUUGUAAUGCUACACUUGUCCUAUUAAACUGAAUUAAAACCAAAAUUAACCAACUGAAGUUUCCCAUAGCAUUUUGGGAGCACCUAAAUAAAAAGAUGGCCUCUAAUUGAGGAACUAGAGUUUGAUUAUUGGAACUUACCACAUAUGAGCAAAGAUAGCAAUGAGAGGAAAAGCAGUGUAAACUUGUUUGAAACAACCAGUCUCUUUAAUUGAGGGACAAUUACACAUAGUAUCAAAGUACAGAAAAUGAAAAAUUGAUUCAGGUCAACGGAUAGGUUUUAUUCCUCUUAGAUCACCCACCCACACAUGGAUGGAAAUCUUCACUAUUUCGUAAGAAAGUAGCAUGAACAUCAGUUGGCCUUCAAUAUCGCACUAAGGAAUGCAGCGCGCAAAUUUCUUCCUUCCAAAUCCAAACACAAUGAAACUAUGGGUCAAACUACACAUCCAUUUAUAAAAACAGAAAGACCAACACAUUGUUGGGUGAUUACUGGUGGAAUGCUAAGGUGGUGCACUUUCAGGACUGGUAUGAAAACAUCACUCC
Long non-coding RNA from Syngnathus typhle (broad-nosed pipefish), 5360 nucleotides. RefSeq lists it as uncharacterized. The record is from RefSeq and is a predicted model, not a curated record. The transcript has 2 exons. NCBI's taxonomy places the organism in Eukaryota, Metazoa, Chordata, Actinopteri, Syngnathiformes, Syngnathidae.